This 114-nucleotide ribosomal RNA is filed under the name Pteropus alecto (black flying fox). The record is from RNAcentral. Lineage: Eukaryota; Metazoa; Chordata; Mammalia; Chiroptera; Pteropodidae.
GUCUACAGCCAUGCCACCCUGAAUAAGCCCGAUGUCUGAUCUCAGAAUCUAAGCAGGCUCGGGCCUGGUCAGUAGUUGGAUGCGAGUACCUAGGAAGACUAGGUGCUGUAGGCU